GGCACCAUGGCGGAGUGGUUAACGCGAGAGAUUCGAAUAUGGUCUGCAGGACUCGAACCUGUAUCUCUUCCUCUUUGAGGGCGCAGGUUCGAAUCCUGCUGGUGUCG
This is a non-coding RNA of Schizophyllum amplum, 107 nucleotides long. The record is from the annotation of a GenBank genome assembly. NCBI's taxonomy places the organism in Eukaryota, Fungi, Basidiomycota, Agaricomycetes, Agaricales, Schizophyllaceae.